ACUACGCUGGCGGCGUGCCUAAUACAUGCAAGUCGAACGGGAUUCUUUGAUCAGCUUGCUGAGAGAAGGAUCUAGUGGCGGACGGGUGAGUAACGCGUGGGAAUCUGCCUCUUACUGGGGGAUAACAGUGGGAAACUACUGCUAAUACCGCAUAAGAUCUUCGGAUGAAAGGUGCAACUGCACCGGUAAGAGAUGAGCCCGCGUCCCAUUAGCUAGUUGGUGAGGUAAAGGCUCACCAAGGCGACGAUGGGUAGCCGGCCUGAGAGGGUGAACGGCCACACUGGGACUGAGACACGGCCCAGACUCCUACGGGAGGCAGCAGUAGGGAAUCUUCCGCAAUGGGCGCAAGCCCGACGGAGCGACGCCGCGUGAGUGAUGAAGGCCUUCGGGUCGUAAAGCUCUGUUCUUGAGGACGAAUAAGCCAGGGAGUGGAAAGCCCUGGUGAUGACUGUACUCAAGGAGAAAGCUCCGGCUAACUACGUG
Molecule: ribosomal RNA, 483 nt
Filed under: uncultured bacterium
Lineage: Bacteria
Description: bacterial SSU rRNA
Rfam family: Bacterial small subunit ribosomal RNA
Source: RNAcentral